UUGUAAACUUCUUUAUCAGGGAAGAACCCUUGGAUUCACUCCGAGGCUGACGGUACCUGAAGAAUAAGCACCGGCUAACUCCGUGCCAGCAGCCGCGGUAAUACGGAGGGUGCAAGCGUUAUCCGGAUUUACUGGGUUUAAAGGGUGCGUAGGCGGAUUUGUAAGUCAGUGGUGAAAGCCUGGAGCUUAACUCCGGAAUUGCCAUUGAUACUGCUUAUCUUGAGUACAGUUGAGGUGGGCGGAAUGUGUCAUGUAGUGGUGAAAUGCUUAGAUAUGACACAGAACACCGAUUGCGAAGGCAGCUCGCUAAACUGUAACUGACGCUGAGGCACGAAAGCGUGGGGAUCGAACAGGAUUAGAUACCCUGGUAGUCCACGCCCUAAACGAUGAUCACUCGACAUUGGCGAUAUACUGUCAGUGUCCAAGCGAAAGCGUUAAGUGAUCCACCUGGGGAGUACGACCGCAAGGUUG
RNAcentral lists this ribosomal RNA (471 nucleotides) under uncultured Bacteroidota bacterium. RNAcentral describes it as "bacterial SSU rRNA". It matches the Rfam family "Bacterial small subunit ribosomal RNA", at positions 423 to 896 of the family's 1533-position model. The record is from RNAcentral. Lineage: Bacteria; Pseudomonadati; Bacteroidota.